Molecule: ribosomal RNA, 985 nt
Filed under: seawater metagenome
Description: bacterial LSU rRNA
Rfam family: Bacterial large subunit ribosomal RNA
Source: RNAcentral
UAACGGUCCUAAGGUAGCGAAAUUCCUUGUCGGGUAAGUUCCGACCUGCACGAAUCGUGUAACGACCGAACCGCUGUCUCGGAGAGGUUCUCGGCGAAACUGUAAUGGCGGUGAAGAUGCCGCCUGCCCGCAGAAGGACGGAAAGACCCUAUGCACCUUUACUAUAAGCUGGUAUUGGGUUCUGGUCUUUGAUGCGUAGCAUAGGUGGGAGACGUUGAAUUGGCGGUUUCGGUCGUCAAGGAGUCAUCAGUGAAAUACCACUCUUUAAUGAUUAGGAUUCUAACCCCAACCCUGUUAGCCAGGUGGGGGACAGUGCCUGCGGGUUAGUUUGACUGGGGCGGUUUCCUCCUAAAAAGUAACGGAGGAGCGCGAAGGUACUCUCAGCACGGUUGGCAACCGUGCGUCGAGCGUAUGGGUAUAAGAGUGCUUAACUGUGAGACCUACAAGUCGAGCAGAUGCGAAAGCAGGCCCAAGUGAUCCGAUGGUUGAAUGUGGAAUUGCCAUCGCUCAACGGACAAAAGGUACGCUAGGGAUAACAGGCUGAUCGCGCCCAAGAGUUCAUAUCGACGGCGCGGUUUGGCACCUCGAUGUCGGCUCAUCGCAUCCUGGGGCUGGAGAAGGUCCCAAGGGUCCGGCUGUUCGCCGGUUAAAGCGGUACGCGAGCUGGGUUCAGAACGUCGUGAGACAGUUCGGUCCUUAUCCACUGUGGGCGUAGGAAACUUGAGGGGUUCAUUCUCUAGUACGAGAGGACCGAGAAUGACGCACUUCUGGUGUGGCAGUUGUUCCGUCAGGGGCAGCGCUGCGUAGCCAAGUGCGGAAGAGAUAAGCGCUGAAAGCAUCUAAGUGCCAAGCUCCUCCCAAGAUAAGGUUUCCCGGACGCAAGUCCCUUAAGACCCCCGGAAGACUACCGGGUUGAUAGGUCAGGCGUGUAAGCGUGGCAACAUGUUUAGCGGACUGAUACUAAUCGGUCGUGAGGCUUGAUCGC